AAUAAAUCCGGUUUGCUGUCGUUGUGACAGCCUCUUGUUCUUUUCUAUAACAAUAAAAUAACCCCUGACUUUAGGGAGGGUUCUUCCCAACCUGAUAAUAACAAAUUGAAGUCAUUGUUCUGCCUUUAUCACAUACUAGGGCUAUGACCCAGACAAAACAGCAAGCUAUAAGGACAUAAGGGACCCCAACAUUACUAGUGUACACAAUUCAAACAGGAAAACCAACAAUCCAAUAUAUAUAUACAAACUGAGAAAUAACAGGCUAUGAACCACAUCAACAUACUACUGAACAACAGGCCCCUAAAUCAAUCCUGACAGGUACAUAAACAAGCAGUGAGUAUGGGUAGUUUUGUUCUGCCAGCAUACAAUAUAUUUGCAAUAUAUUUGCAACUGAAGCCAACUGUUCUUUAGAAGUU
RNAcentral lists this long non-coding RNA (416 nucleotides) under Mytilus galloprovincialis (Mediterranean mussel). The record is from RNAcentral. Lineage: Eukaryota; Metazoa; Mollusca; Bivalvia; Mytilida; Mytilidae.